GAUGAACGCUGGCGGUAUGCUUAACACAUGCAAGUCGAACGGACUCUUCGGAGUUAGUGGCGGACGGGUGUGUAACGCGUGAGAAUCUGGCUUUGGGUUCGGGACAACCACUGGAAACGGUGGCUAAUACCGGAUGUGCCGAGAGGUAAAAGAGAAAUUGCCUGAAGAUGAGCUCGCGUCUGAUUAGCUAGUUGGUGAGGUAAAGGCUCACCAAGGCAGCGAUCAGUAGCUGGUCUGAGAGGAUGACCAGCCACACUGGGACUGAGACACGGCCCAGACUACUACUGGAGGCAGCAGUGGGGAAUUAUCCGCAAUGGGCGAAAGACUGACGGAGCAAUACCGCGUGAGGGAAGAAGGCUCUUGGGUUGUAAACCUCUUUUCUUAGGGAAGAACAAAAUGACGGUACCUAAGGAAUCAGCAUCGGCUAACUCCGUG
This 435-nucleotide ribosomal RNA is filed under the name uncultured bacterium. RNAcentral describes it as "partial 16S ribosomal RNA". It matches the Rfam family "Bacterial small subunit ribosomal RNA", at positions 28 to 507 of the family's 1533-position model. The record is from RNAcentral.